UGGUCAUUACUAAUGCUUUUAGAAUGCAGUUUCCCAUUUGCUGUGGAUAUGACCAUUAAAAAAUAAAAAUCCCCAUUAGGUUUCCUAUAUUCUGCUUAGAUAGCAGUCAAUCUAUUGGGAACAUUU
Small nucleolar RNA from Jaculus jaculus (lesser Egyptian jerboa), 126 nucleotides. The record is from Ensembl. Lineage: Eukaryota; Metazoa; Chordata; Mammalia; Rodentia; Dipodidae.